RNAcentral lists this ribosomal RNA (460 nucleotides) under uncultured bacterium. RNAcentral's name for it is "partial 16S ribosomal RNA". It matches the Rfam family "Bacterial small subunit ribosomal RNA", at positions 338 to 795 of the family's 1533-position model. The record is from RNAcentral.
CCUACGGGUGGCAGCAGUGAGGAAUAUUGGUCAAUGGGCGCGAGCCUGAACCAGCCAAGUAGCGUGAAGGAUGACUGUCCUACGGGUUGUAAACCUCUUUUAUCAAGGAAUAAAGUGAGGCACGCGUGCCUUUUUGUAUGUACUUUAUGAAUAAGCAUCGGCUAACUCCGUGCCAGCAGCCGCGGUAAUACGGAGGAUCCGAGCGUUAUCCGGAUUUAUUGGGUUUAAAGGGUGCGGAGAUGGGUUGUUAAGUCAGUUGUGAAAGUUUGGGGCUCAACCCUAACAUUGCCAUUGAUACUGGCAGCCUUGAGUACGUUAGAGGUAGGCGGAAUUCGUGGUGUAGCGGUGAAAUGCUUAGAUAUCACGAAGAACUCCGAUUGCGAAGGCAGCAUACUAAACUGCCACUGACAUUGAUGCUCGAAAGUGUGGGUAUCGAACAGGAUUAGAUACCCCUGUAGUC